Molecule: ribosomal RNA, 33 nt
Filed under: Pratylenchus coffeae
Lineage: Eukaryota; Metazoa; Nematoda; Chromadorea; Rhabditida; Pratylenchidae
Description: partial 18S ribosomal RNA
Source: RNAcentral
CGUAACAAGGUAGCUGUAGGUGAACCUGCUGCU